UACAGAGGGUGCUAGCGUUGUUCGGAAUGACUGGGCGUAAAGGGCGCGUAGGCGGCUUUUUAAGUCAGGCGUGAAAUCCCCGGGCUCAACCUGGGAAUGGCGCUUGAUACUGGAGAGCUUGAGAGCGGAAGAGGAAAGUGGAAUUCCUAGUGUAGAAGUGAAAUUCGUAGAUAUUAGGAGGAACACCAGAGGCGAAGGCGGCUUUCUGGUCCGCAACUGACGCUGAGGCGCGAAAGCGUGGGGAGCAAACAGG
Molecule: ribosomal RNA, 253 nt
Filed under: uncultured bacterium
Lineage: Bacteria
Description: partial 16S ribosomal RNA
Rfam family: Bacterial small subunit ribosomal RNA
Source: RNAcentral